UACGGGUAUCUGUAGGUGACCUGCAGAUGGAUCAUUUCGAUGAAAACCUUUUUUUCUUGAGGUGUGGCUCGCACCUGUCUAACUAAACUUGAGCUACCAUUUUUUCAACACGGUUGCAUCGGUUGGCCUGUCAAUUAGUGCGGCGGCGCGAAUUUACUUUGCACCUGCCAAGCUAGGCGACGGACCGACGCCUUACUUUAAACACUUUUGAUGAUCUAGGAUUUGAAGGAUAAAAGUUCAUUUUUACAAUGAAAUCGACUGGUAAUGCGGUCGUCUAAUUUUAAAAACAACUUUUGGCAACGGAUCUCUUGGUUCUCCCAUCGAUGAAGAACGCAGCGAAUUGCGAUAAGUAAUGUGAAUUGCAGAAGUGAAUCAUCGAAUCUUUGAACGCACCUUGCGCUCCCGGCAGAUCUAAUCUGGGGAGCAUGCCUGUUUGAGGGCCGCGAAUUGUUUCGAACGACAACUUUUUUCACAAAGAGUUGGCGGAUCGGUAUUGAGGGUUUUGCCAUUCACCGUGGCUCUCUCGAAAUGCAUUAGCGCAUCCAUUUGAUAGGCAAGACGGACGAAAGCUCCUCUUUCGCUCUCUCUUCCCUGCCGGGUUUUGAUAAUAUCAGGACUUCGGAGAGGUUGAGAUGGGUACGGAGCUGGACGCAACGGCUUGCUGUUUGGAGUGCUUCUGAAACCCGCCCAUGUCGAGCUUUUUUGCUCGAAAGGGAUUUACUAAUUCACAUCGGCCUCAGAUGGGUAGGACUACCCGCUGAACUUAAGCUAUAUAAAAAAGCCGCGGAGAAAAAUGUG
This 798-nucleotide ribosomal RNA is filed under the name Pseudozyma sp. MM 5_4. RNAcentral describes it as "eukaryotic LSU rRNA". The stretch from base 289 to 443 matches the Rfam family "5.8S ribosomal RNA". The record is from RNAcentral. Lineage: Eukaryota; Fungi; Basidiomycota; Ustilaginomycetes; Ustilaginales; Ustilaginaceae.